RNAcentral lists this ribosomal RNA (636 nucleotides) under uncultured Gammaproteobacteria bacterium. RNAcentral describes it as "bacterial SSU rRNA". It matches the Rfam family "Bacterial small subunit ribosomal RNA", at positions 46 to 675 of the family's 1533-position model. The record is from RNAcentral. Lineage: Bacteria; Pseudomonadati; Pseudomonadota; Gammaproteobacteria.
GCCUAACACAUGCAAGUUCGAGCGGAUGAAGGUAGCUUGCUACCGGAUUCAGCGGCGGACGGGUGAGUAAUGCUUAGGAAUCUGCCUAUUAGUGGGGGACAACGUUCCGAAAGGGGCGCUAAUACCGCAUACGUCCUACGGGAGAAAGCAGGGGACCUUCGGGCCUUGCGCUAAUAGAUGAGCCUAAGUCGGAUUAGCUAGUUGGUAGGGUAAAGGCCUACCAAGGCGACGAUCUGUAGCGGGUCUGAGAGGAUGAUCCGCCACACUGGGACUGAGACACGGCCCAGACUCCUACGGGAGGCAGCAGUGGGGAAUAUUGGACAAUGGGGGGAACCCUGAUCCAGCCAUGCCGCGUGUGUGAAGAAGGCCUUUUGGUUGUAAAGCACUUUAAGCGAGGAGGAGGCUACCUAGAUUAAUACUUUAGGAUAGUGGACGUUACUCGCAGAAUAAGCACCGGCUAACUCUGUGCCAGCAGCCGCGGUAAUACAGAGGGUGCGAGCGUUAAUCGGAUUUACUGGGCGUAAAGCGUGCGUAGGCGGCCAAUUAAGUCAAAUGUGAAAUCCCCGAGCUUAACUUGGGAAUUGCAUUCGAUACUGGUUGGCUAGAGUAUGGGAGAGGAUGGUAGAAUUCCAGGUG